RNAcentral lists this ribosomal RNA (741 nucleotides) under uncultured Lachnospiraceae bacterium. RNAcentral describes it as "bacterial SSU rRNA". It matches the Rfam family "Bacterial small subunit ribosomal RNA", at positions 29 to 771 of the family's 1533-position model. The record is from RNAcentral. Lineage: Bacteria; Bacillati; Bacillota; Clostridia; Lachnospirales; Lachnospiraceae.
AUGAACGCUGGCGGCGUGCUUAACACAUGCAAGUCGAACGGGAAUUACUUUAUUGAAACUUCGGUGGAUUUAAUUUAAUUCUAGUGGCGGACGGGUGAGUAACGCGUGGGUAACCUGCCUUAUACAGGGGGAUAACAGUCAGAAAUGGCUGCUAAUACCGCAUAAGCGCACAGAGCUGCAUGGCUCAGUGUGAAAAACUCCGGUGGUAUAAGAUGGACCCGCGUUGGAUUAGCUUGUUGGUGGGGUAACGGCCCACCAAGGCGACGAUCCAUAGCCGGCCUGAGAGGGUGAACGGCCACAUUGGGACUGAGACACGGCCCAGACUCCUACGGGAGGCAGCAGUGGGGAAUAUUGCACAAUGGGGGAAACCCUGAUGCAGCGACGCCGCGUGAAGGAAGAAGUAUCUCGGUAUGUAAACUUCUAUCAGCAGGGAAGAUAGUGACGGUACCUGACUAAGAAGCCCCGGCUAACUACGUGCCAGCAGCCGCGGUAAUACGUAGGGGGCAAGCGUUAUCCGGAUUUACUGGGUGUAAAGGGAGCGUAGACGGUGUGGCAAGUCUGAUGUGAAAGGCAUGGGCUCAACCUGUGGACUGCAUUGGAAACUGUCAUACUUGAGUGCCGGAGGGGUAAGCGGAAUUCCUAGUGUAGCGGUGAAAUGCGUAGAUAUUAGGAGGAACACCAGUGGCGAAGGCGGCUUACUGGACGGUAACUGACGUUGAGGCUCGAAAGCGUGGGGAGCAA